CGUGUAGGCGGUCAUGUAAGUCAGAUGUGAAAGCCUUCCGCUUAACGGAAGAAGUGCAUUUGAAACUACAUGACUGGAGUACGGGAGAGGAGAGUGGAAUUCCCGGUGUAGAGGUGAAAUUCGCAGAUAUCGGGAGGAACACCAGUGGCGAAGGCGGCUCUCUGGCCUGAUACUGACGCUGAGACGCGAAAGCGUGGGGAGCAAACAGGAUUAGAUACCCUGGUAGUCCACGCCGUAAACGAUGGGCACUAGGUGUAGGAGGUAUUGACCCCUUCUGUGCCGAAGCUAACGCAUUAAGUGCCCCGCCUGGGGAGUACGGCCGCAAGGUUAAA
This 332-nucleotide ribosomal RNA is filed under the name uncultured bacterium. Its description in RNAcentral is "bacterial SSU rRNA". It matches the Rfam family "Bacterial small subunit ribosomal RNA", at positions 568 to 898 of the family's 1533-position model. The record is from RNAcentral.